GACGAACGCUGGUGGCGUGCUUAACACAUGCAAGUCGAGCGAUGAAGCUCCUUCGGGAGUGGAUUAGCGGCGGACGGGUGAGUAACACGUGGGUAACCUGCCUCAUAGAGGGGAAUAGCCUUUUGAAAGGAAGAUUAAUACCGCAUAAGAUUGUAGCUUCGCAUGAAGCAGCAAUUAAAGGAGUAAUCCGCUAUGAGAUGGACCCGCGUCGCAUUAGCUAGUUGGUGAGGUAACGGCUCACCAAGGCGACGAUGCGUAGCCGACCUGAGAGGGUGAUCGGCCACAUUGGGACUGAGACACGGCCCAGACUCCUACGGGAGGCAGCAGUGGGGAAUAUUGCACAAUGGGGGAAACCCUGAUGCAGCAACGCCGCGUGAGUGAUGACGGUCUUCGGAUUGUAAAGCUCUGUCUUCAGGGACGAUAAUGACGGUACCUGAGGAGGAAGCCACGGCUAACUACGUGCCAGCAGCCGCAGUAA
This 478-nucleotide ribosomal RNA is filed under the name uncultured bacterium. RNAcentral's name for it is "partial 16S ribosomal RNA". It matches the Rfam family "Bacterial small subunit ribosomal RNA", at positions 28 to 523 of the family's 1533-position model. The record is from RNAcentral.